CCUACGGGUGGCAGCAGUGAGGAAUAUUGGUCAAUGGCCGCAAGGCUGAACCAGCCAAGUCGCGUGAGGGAUGACGGUCCUAUGGAUUGUAAACCUCUUUUGUAAGGGAGUAAAGGGCGGCACGUGUAGCGUUUUGGAAGUAACUGAAGAAAAAGCAUCGGCUAACUCCGUGCCAGCAGCCGCGGUAAUACGGAGGAUGCGAGCGUUAUCCGGAUUUAUUGGGUUUAAAGGGUGCGGAGGCGGCCAUUUGAGUCAGCGGGGAAAUUUAGGGGCUCAACCCCCUGAUUGACGUUGAACCUGGGGUGCUUGAGUGUGUGAGAGGUAGGCGGAAUGCGUGGUGUAGCGGUGAAAUGCAUAGAUAUCACGCAGAACUCCGAUUGCGAAGGCAGCCUACC
RNAcentral lists this ribosomal RNA (395 nucleotides) under uncultured bacterium. RNAcentral's name for it is "partial 16S ribosomal RNA". It matches the Rfam family "Bacterial small subunit ribosomal RNA", at positions 338 to 730 of the family's 1533-position model. The record is from RNAcentral.